This 254-nucleotide ribosomal RNA is filed under the name uncultured bacterium. Its description in RNAcentral is "partial 16S ribosomal RNA". It matches the Rfam family "Bacterial small subunit ribosomal RNA", at positions 524 to 776 of the family's 1533-position model. The record is from RNAcentral.
UACGGGGGGAGCAAGCGUUGUUCGGAUUUACUGGGCGUAAAGGGCGCGUAGGCGGCCAGCACAAGUCAGUUGUGAAAUCUCCGAGCUUAACUCGGAAAGGUCAACUGAUACUGCUUUGCUAGAGUGCGGAAGGGGCAAUCGGAAUUCUUGGUGUAGCGGUGAAAUGCGUAGAUAUCAAGAGGAACACCUGAGGUGAAGACGGGUUGCUGGGCCGACACUGACGCUGAAGCGCGAAAGCCAGGGGAGCAAACGGG